This 217-nucleotide ribosomal RNA is filed under the name uncultured bacterium. Its description in RNAcentral is "partial 16S ribosomal RNA". It matches the Rfam family "Bacterial small subunit ribosomal RNA", at positions 524 to 740 of the family's 1533-position model. The record is from RNAcentral.
UACGUAGGGUGCAAGCGUUAAUCGGAAUUACUGGGCGUAAAGCGUGCGCAGGCGGUUAUGCAAGACAGAUGUGAAAUCCCCGGGCUCAACCUGGGAACUGCAUUUGUGACUGCAUGGCUAGAGUGCGGCAGAGGGGGAUGGAAUUCCGCGUGUAGCGGUGGAAUGCGCAGAUAUCAGGAGGAACACCGGUGGCGAAGGCGGGGUCCUGGGCCAGUAC